GUGGGGAAUAUUGGACAAUGGGCGCAAGCCUGAUCCAGCCAUGCCGCGUGUGUGAUGAAGGCCUUCGGGUUGUAAAGCACUUUCAGGGGUGAAGAAAAGCACUUGGUCAAUACCCGGGUGUCUUGACGUUAACCCCAGAAGAAGCACCGGCUAACUCCGUGCCAGCAGCCGCGGUAAUACGGAGGGUGCGAACGUUAAUCGGAAUUACUGGGCGUAAAGCGCGCGUAGGCGGCUCGUCAAGUGGGAUGUGAAAGCCCUGGGCUCAACCUGGGAAUUGCAUUCCAAACUGACGGGCUAGAGUACGGUAGAGGGAGGUGGAAUUUAGGGUGUAGCGGUGAAAUGCGUAGAUAUCCUAAGGAACACCAGUGGCGAAGGCGGCCUCCUGGACCGAUACUGACGCUGAGGUGCGAAAGCGUGGGGAGCAAACAGG
Molecule: ribosomal RNA, 430 nt
Filed under: uncultured bacterium
Lineage: Bacteria
Description: bacterial SSU rRNA
Rfam family: Bacterial small subunit ribosomal RNA
Source: RNAcentral